CGGCGUGCUUAACACAUGCAAGUCGAACGGAAAGGCCCUGCUUUUGUGGGGUGCUCGAGUGGCGAACGGGUGAGUAACACGUGAGUAACCUGCCCUUGACUUUGGGAUAACUUCAGGAAACUGGGGCUAAUACCGGAUAGGAGCUCCUGCUGCAUGGUGGGGGUUGGAAAGUUUCGGCGGUUGGGGAUGGACUCGCGGCUUAUCAGCUUGUUGGUGGGGUAGUGGCUUACCAAGGCUUUGACGGGUAGCCGGCCUGAGAGGGUGACCGGCCACAUUGGGACUGAGAUACGGCCCAGACUCCUACGGGAGGCAGCAGUGGGGAAUAUUGCGCAAUGGGCGGAAGCCUGAUGCAGCAACGCCGCGUGCGGGAUGACGGCCUUCGGGUUGUAAACCGCUUUCGCCUGUGACGAAGCGUGAGUGACGGUAAUGGGUAAAGAAGCACCGGCUAACUACGUGCCAGCAGCCGCGGUGAUACGUAGGGUGCGAGCGUUGUCCGGAUUUAUUGGGCGUAAAGGGCUCGUAGGUGGUUGAUCGCGUCGGAAGUGUAAUCUUGGGGCUUAACCCUGAGCGUGCUUUCGAUACGGGUUGACUUGAGGAAGGUAGGGGAGAAUGGAAUUCCUGGUGGAGCGGUGGAAUGCGCAGAUAUCAGGAGGAACACCAGUGGCGAAGGCGGUUCUCUGGGCCUUUCCUGACGCUGAGGAGCGAAAGCGUGGGGAGCGAACAGGCUUAGAUACCCUGGUAGUCCACGCUGUAAACGGUGGGUACUAGGUGUGGGGUCCAUUCCACGGGUUCCGUGCCGUAGCUAACGCUUUAAGUACCCCGCCUGGGGAGUACGGCCGCAAGGCUAAAACUCAAAGGAAUUGACGGGGCCCCGCACAAGCGGCGGAGCAUGCGGAUUAAUUCGAUGCAACGCGUAGAACCUUACCUGGGUUUGACAUGGAUCGGGAGUGCUCAGAGAUGGGUGUGCCUCUUUUGGGGUCGGUUCACAGGUGGUGCAUGGCUGUCGUCAGCUCGUGUCGUGAGAUGUUGGGUUAAGUCCCGCAACGAGCGCAACCCUUGUUCACUGUUGCCAGCACGUUAUGGUGGGGACUCAGUGGAGACCGCCGGGGUCAACUCGGAGGAAGGUGGGGAUGACGUCAAGUCAUCAUGCCCCUUAUGUCCAGGGCUUCACGCAUGCUACAAUGGCUGGUACAGAGAGUGGCGAGCCUGUGAGGGUGAGCGAAUCUCGGAAAGCCGGUCUCAGUUCGGAUUGGGGUCUGCAACUCGACCUCAUGAAGUCGGAGUCGCUAGUAAUCGCAGAUCAGCAACGCUGCGGUGAAUACGUUCCCGGGGCUUGUACACACCGCCCGUCAAGUCAUGAAAGUUGGUAACACCCGAAGCCGGUGGCCUAACCGUUGUGGGGGAGCCGUCGAAGGUGGGACUGGUGAUUAGGACUAAGUCAUAACAAG
This 1448-nucleotide ribosomal RNA is filed under the name uncultured organism. RNAcentral's name for it is "16S ribosomal RNA". It matches the Rfam family "Bacterial small subunit ribosomal RNA". The record is from RNAcentral.